UGGGGUAUCGCCAAAAGGUAAGGCAUAGGGUUUUGAUCCCUACAUCCAAGGUUCGAAUCCUUGUACCCCAG
Molecule: transfer RNA, 71 nt
Filed under: Caudoviricetes sp.
Lineage: Duplodnaviria; Heunggongvirae; Uroviricota; Caudoviricetes
Description: tRNA-Gln
Rfam family: tRNA
About the family: Transfer RNA (tRNA) molecules are approximately 80 nucleotides in length. Their secondary structure includes four short double-helical elements and three loops (D, anti-codon, and T loops). Further hydrogen bonds mediate the characteristic L-shaped molecular structure. tRNAs have two regions of fundamental functional importance: the anti-codon, which is responsible for specific mRNA codon recognition, and the 3' end, to which the tRNAs corresponding amino acid is attached (by aminoacyl-tRNA synthetases). tRNAs cope with the degeneracy of the genetic code in two manners: having more than one tRNA (with a specific anti-codon) for a particular amino acid; and 'wobble' base-pairing, i.e. permitting non-standard base-pairing at the 3rd anti-codon position.
Source: RNAcentral